UAGGGAAUAUUGCACAAUGGGGGAAACCCUGAUGCAGCGACGCCGCGUGAGUGAUGAAGGCCUUCGGGUCGUAAAGCUCUGUCGUAUGGGACUAACAAAAUGAAGGUACCAUGCAAGAAAGGAUCGGCUAACUUCGUGCCAGCAGCCGCGGUAAGACGAGGGAUCCUAGCGUUGUUCGGAAUCAUUGGGCGUAAAGCGGGUGUAGGCGGACUUAUAAGUCAGGUGUGAAAUCCCAGGGCUCAACCCUGGAAGUGCACUUGAUACUGCAAGUCUUGAGUGUGGUAGAGGCUAUUAGAAUUCUUGGUGUAGUGGUGAAAUACGUAGAUAUCAAGAGGAAUACCGGAGGCGAAGGCGGAUAGCUGGGCCAACACUGACGCUGAGACCCGAAAGCGUGGGGAUCAAACAGGAUUAGAUACCCCCGUAGUCCCUGAGCGGGCUGGCAAGGCGCAU
This 450-nucleotide ribosomal RNA is filed under the name uncultured bacterium. Its description in RNAcentral is "bacterial SSU rRNA". It matches the Rfam family "Bacterial small subunit ribosomal RNA", at positions 355 to 825 of the family's 1533-position model. The record is from RNAcentral.